RNAcentral lists this ribosomal RNA (484 nucleotides) under uncultured bacterium. RNAcentral's name for it is "partial 16S ribosomal RNA". It matches the Rfam family "Bacterial small subunit ribosomal RNA", at positions 30 to 507 of the family's 1533-position model. The record is from RNAcentral.
AUUGAACGCUAGCGGGAUGCUUUACACAUGCAAGUCGAACGGCAGCGCGGACUUCGGUCUGGCGGCGAGUGGCGAACGGGUGAGUAAUGUAUCGGAACGUGCCCAGUAGCGGGGGAUAACUACGCGAAAGCGUAGCUAAUACCGCAUACGCCCUACGGGGGAAAGCAGGGGAUCGUAAGACCUUGCACUAUUGGAGCGGCCGAUGUCGGAUUAGCUAGUUGGUGAGGUAACGGCUCACCAAGGCGACGAUCCGUAGCUGGUUUGAGAGGACGACCAGCCACACUGGGACUGAGACACGGCCCAGACUCCUACGGGAGGCAGCAGUGGGGAAUUUUGGACAAUGGGGGCAACCCUGAUCCAGCCAUCCCGCGUGUGCGAUGAAGGCCUUCGGGUUGUAAAGCACUUUUGGCAGGAAAGAAACGUCGCGGGCUAAUACCCCGUGGAACUGACGGUACCUGCAGAAUAAGCACCGGCUAACUACGUG